GGAAGUAAAGUCGUAACAAGGUUCCGUAGGUGAACCUGCGGAAGGAUCAUUAAUAAAUGGUCUACGUUUUAAGUAGACACUUAUAAUCCUACCCUUUGUGAAUUUGUUGUUUGAAAUAAUUUUUUUAAAAUAUUGAUUGUCUUUCCCUGUUGAAUAGAAUGUUUUCGAACAUGAAAUUCGCAGGGGAGUGUCAGUAAUUUUAAAAGACCUUUUUAAAAUUAAACUUUUGUAUCAUUUGUCUAAAAUUAUUUUAAUAUAAAACACUUUGACAUGGAUCUCUUGGUUCUCGCAACGAUGAAGAACGCAGCAAAUGCGAUAAGUAGUGUGAAUUGCAGAAUACGUGAAUCAUCGAAUCUUCGAACGCAUAUUGCACUUUUUAGUUUACUAAAAAGUAUGUCUGUUUGAGUAUCAGUAAAUAUUCUCAUAAAACUAUUGUUUUAUGGUUAUGAGUGUUUACAACGAUACAAGUUGUUUCACUUUAAUUUUUUAAAAUUUGAAUUUUUCUAAUUUUAAAUAAAAUUGGAUAAAAUUUUCCCGUAAAAAGGAAUAACCUAAACAAUUUUAGUUUUUGAUUAGAAUUUUCAUUAUAAGGAAAAUUUAAUAAAUAACUUGAUCUCAAAUCAGAUAAGAGUACCCGCUGAACUUAGCAUAUCAAUAGCGGAGGAAAGAAACUAACAAGGAUUCCCUUAGUAACGGCGAGUGAAGCGGGAAGAGCUCAAAUUUGAAUCUUCAAGGUUUUACCUUGACGAAUUGUAGUUUAAAGAAGUGUUUCUGUUGAGUUUUGGUAAAAGUUCUUUGGAAUAGGACAUCAUAGAGGGUGAGAAUCCCGUAUUUGACCAUUAUUUCAGCUGUGUGAUACACUUUCAAAGAGUCGGAUUGUUUGGGAAUGCAGUCCAAAUGGGUGGUAAAUUUCAUCUAAAGCUAAAUAUUGGCGAGAGACCGAUAGCGAACAAGUACCGUGAGGGAAAGAUGAAAAGAACUUUGAAAAGAGAGUUAAACAGUACGUGAAAUUGUCAAAGGGAAGCGUUGACACCAGUGUUGUUUCUCGAAAUCAAUUAAAAGAGUUGGAUUUUGUGUGUAUUGACCUUAACAGCUUGCUUCACUCUUUCCUGCUUUUUUAAUGCACUUUUCGUUUAACAGGUCAACAUCAGUUUCUUUUGUUGUAAAGGGUCAUUGGAAGGUGGCUUUCUCUUCGGAGAAGUGUUUAUAGCCUUUGAUCUCUGCAAUCGGAGAGACUGAGGUCUGCAGCGUAGAUCCUUCGGGUUAGAUACAUUUGUGCUAAGCUACAGCUUUUCAUAGACAACUGUUGACUAUGUUUAGUCUUGUAACUUACCCGCUUAUGCUAUUUUACCUACGCUUAGGAU
This 1364-nucleotide unclassified non-coding RNA is filed under the name uncultured Neocallimastigales. RNAcentral describes it as "partial contains small subunit ribosomal RNA, internal transcribed spacer 1, 5.8S ribosomal RNA, internal transcribed spacer 2, and large subunit ribosomal RNA". The stretch from base 611 to 1364 matches the Rfam family "Eukaryotic large subunit ribosomal RNA", at positions 1 to 628 of the family's 3401-position model. The record is from RNAcentral. Lineage: Eukaryota; Fungi; Neocallimastigomycota; Neocallimastigomycetes; Neocallimastigales.